GUUGAACGCUGGCGGCAUGCCUUACACAUGCAAGUCGAACGGUAACGCGGGGCAACCUGGCGACGAGUGGCGAACGGGUGAGUAAUGCAUCGGAACGUGCCCAGUAGUGGGGGAUAGCCCGGCGAAAGCCGGAUUAAUACCGCAUACGACCUACGGGUGAAAGGGGGGGAUCGCAAGAGCUCUCGCUAUUGGAGCGGCCGAUGUCAGAUUAGCUAGUUGGUGGGGUAAAAGCCUACCAAGGCGACGAUCUGUAGCUGGUCUGAGAGGACGACCAGCCAUGCUGGGAUCGACACACGGCCCAGAAACCUUCGGGAGGCAGCAGUGGGGAAUUUUGGACAAUGGGAGAGAGCCUGAUUCAGCCAUGCCGCGUGCGGGAAGAAGGCCUUCGGGUUUUAAACCGCAUUUGUCAGGGAAGAAAUCUUCUGAGUUAAUUCCUCGGGAGGAUGACGGUACCUGAAGAAUAAGCACCGGCUAACUACGUGCCAGCAGCCGCCGUAA
RNAcentral lists this ribosomal RNA (498 nucleotides) under uncultured bacterium. RNAcentral describes it as "partial 16S ribosomal RNA". It matches the Rfam family "Bacterial small subunit ribosomal RNA", at positions 28 to 523 of the family's 1533-position model. The record is from RNAcentral.